CAAACAACGGCUGAGGGUGGUCAUCAUGGCUCCCCCCCCCCUCUCUCCCCGUCUCUUCUCUCUCCCAGAUCUCUGCAGCCUUCUGCCCGUUGUCUCUCCUUUUCCUCUUCUCUUUUUCCCAGCAUCCAAAACGUGUUGUGCUGCAGGACCUAGAGAUUUAUAGACACCAACAACAUCCAGCCUGCACAACACCUGACCUUGAUUAUAGACUGCAGUACUACUCCUAUAUCCAUGUGACUGGUAUCUGCUAUUUCCAUUAUCCACAUCCAACAAAAUAUGUUCUCUCGAUACAUUUUAUCAUAGAUAUUCUGGGUUAUAUGGCUGUGUGAAAGGGCCCUAGGACUCGGAGCAAUGGUUUCAAAUUACAGCCAAGGAGAUUCCACCUGAACAUUAGGAAGAACUUCCUGACUGUAAGAGCUGUUCAACAGUGGAACUCUCUGCCUCGGAGUGUGGUGGAAGCUUUUUCUUUGGAGACUUUUAAACAGAAGUUGGAUAGCCAUUUGUUGUGGGUGCUUUGAUUGUGCUUUUCCUGCAUGGCAAGAGGUUGAACUGGAUGGCCCAUGUAGUCUUUUCCAAUUCUAUGAUCCUAUGAUCUUAUUUUAAUUAUUUCCAUAAGUUUUUAUUAUGCAUUUCAAAAAGAAAUUCACACCAAAAAAAAAGGAGAAUAAAGAAGGGGAUAAGGGUUGUGGAACUCUGGUUAGUAAAUUAAAACCAUGUAAAUGUCUACUGUGUCACCGAGGAAGAGGAAGGGGAUGGAGGGGGAAGAGAAACCUUAUAUUUGUUAUAAUUAAUACAUCUGAAUCUUCAGCUCAAGUACUAUUAUACACACCAUCUAAAGUUUUGAAAGUCUUGUAUAUCCUACAUUACAGAAAAAAACAGCCCUGUCAUUAGACAUAAAAACUGGUAGUCGUGUCUUCCCAUACUAUCCGAUGUUCUUCCUGUCUUUUUUUCCAGUUCUUUACAUGUCUUUUAAUUAUGCCUGCAAGGGUGGCUCUGUGGACCACAUGGACCCCAGGUGACACUAUGGACACCAGAGAAACAAGUUGGUUGUCCUUUAUUUUUCUUAGUGAAGUCAGAAAUCUGUCUCUUCAAUGUUAUCCUAGAGAAAUGUACCAAUUCAUAUAUACUGUCUCCUAGAGCUGUCAUCUGAAAACUGCUUGGCCUUAAUGGCUUCUAACUAGUAUUAUUCAAAAUAUUUCAAGACAAUCAAUGCAAAGGCAGUUCAUAAGCCACUUCUCCAUUCUGCUGUCCAGUCCAAAGCAUUUGGCACUAAUGAGAAAGAGUGUAAUGAGAAUCAAUGAGAAAAGUGCAAAAUAUCAGUCAUAGUAAUUAACCAUAAAUAUGUCAUGAACUGAAUCAAAGGUUUGCAGAAUAAAACUUUGUUUAUGUUAUGUUAGAGAUGUCAUCUUAGAAGCACCCCUGUCUCUAAAGCAGAAGGAAAUUCACAGUCUGUUUCAUAAUGAGAUGCACUGGCUUGGUCCAAAUGAUCACAUCUUGGCUUAUCAAACUGAGACACAUAAAUGCUUUUGCUAACACACAAACCCCUUCACUUUUCCUCUUGUGUGACAAAAUUAAUCCCAGACAUCUUCAAGGAAUAGUUUAUUUCAUAUUAUGGUCAAUGUAUCCUCACAAAUCUAUUAAUAAUUGAUUCUCAGUUUGGAUGAAAUGGGAAACUAUGGUCAUUGGUAGACUAAGUGGCUUACCAUGCUAUGGAGAAGAUAACCAGCAGCUCAAGAUCACAACCAAAGGUUAAGCACAAUCCAUAUACUGAGCCAAGAUAUGAUAUUCUAGACCAGGCUUGCUCUUGUUUUCUUGAGUUAUUGCUGUUUCUCUACGGAAUUCUAAACUCUACCUUUCAUACAUAACUUUGCAGUUCUUUGGCUAAGUUGCUCACACAACAAUGACAGAAAGGUGAAUUUAAGGACCCCUGGUUUUGCCUGGGGUUGUGGACUUUUUUUCAACUCAUUCAACCUCCAAGUCGCCCCUGAAUGUGUAAACAAUUCAGGGGUUGAAGUGAGUUCAGAACAUUAACCCUAGGCCAAGAUAACAGAUGGUGUAAACUAAGAGAUCCUUUGCCUUCCCUUGGUUUCAUGCAUGGCUAUCAACUCAACACACCAGCCAAGCAUUAUCUAUUAUUACACUAUUUAAUUUAUCAAUAACUGUAAUCAUAGAGCUCCUCUUAUUUUGCAAAGAGGAAAACGUGCAGAAUACAAACUUUGAAAGAAAUUGCAUCCACAAUUGCACACCUGUUUUGCAGUGCUAGGUAUAACAAAAUCAUCUAUUUAAAGUUGCUUUCUUGACCAGUCUUUAAGAAUAAAAGUGGUAAAAGAAUGUUUCUUUGUCUAUCUGUUUCUCAUCAUAGAGCAACAUGAAGGAAAUAGGAAUAUGGUGAGGCUGUAAGGAUUCAAAGUUGCUUGGUAUCUUCCAAAGUUCAAUUCUACUGACUUCAUUUGGCUUUGUGGGUUUUUUCCCCAUAGCCUCCUCAAAAUAUUCCAUGCUAUAUGUAAUGUUAACUGCAAAAGCCCACAGCAGUUUUCUGUCUUGAAGCCUUAUGCAAAGUCUUCUCUAUUGUUGCUGUUACGUGUCUUCAAGUCAUUUCCAACUUAUAGUGACCCAAAGGUGAAUGUUAUAAAGUAGGUGCAACGAAAAAGUAGGUGCAAUUUUUAAAAAUAGAAAUAGUCUUUAAAAAUGUUAAACUUUCCAGUGGACACUAGAGCGAAUGAAUGAUAAGACCCUGAGGGGAUACAUUCCUGAAUUUACUGUGGAAACAAGAAACCAUGGAUAAUAGUGAAUCUUAUUGAAAUGAAUUAUUUCUGCCAGAGGUUACUACAGAGUUGCUCUGAAGAAGUUAGAAAAUUGUUUGGAGGACCUAAAUGAAACUGCAGUUAAUGGUCUUAUGGAGAUGAGGGCUGUGCUAUAUUUUAGCCUUACUGCCAAACUAUUAUUAUUAUUAUUAUUAUUUUAUGACACAGCAAACAAGAUAGAUAUGCUGGAUUUUGUAUCACAACAUCACAAGUCGAACACUUCCCAAGUGUCUAGGACUGUGUGAUGUAUUUUCGGAUGAUGCGCGCAGAUCUCAGUAGGGUGGCCUUGUUGUUGUUGUUGUUGUUGUUGUUGUUGUUAUUAUUAUUAUUAUUAUUAUUAUUAUUAUUAUUAUUAUUAUUAUACCCUGCUUUAUCUUCCCCACAGGGGACUCAAAGCGGCUCUAUAUUCUGAAAAUGGUUUAUUUUGAAAAGUACAAUUUUGAAAGUAAUUGGGCAGGAAUAAAUAUAUGCUUCUUGUAAGAAGUGCUUUAGAAGUCCUCUAUCAACCUAUGCUAUUUAUUCUAUUCAUAAAACAUCUAGAGAGAAGCUUAAGCAAAGCUCAGCUUAAUAUACCAAAUGAAACAUGCUCAAAAUAGACAUAAAGAGAUGUACAAGGAGAUCUUUCCAAACUGAGUAACUAGACAAAACAUAUCAACUGAUGAGAUUUGCUUUUAAUAGAGACUAAAGGCAAUACACACUGAAGACUAUCAUAACAUAAAGCCCACUAAGGACGUCAAUGUACUGUUUAACUACAGUACAACAGAAAGAUACUUUCAUAGUAGACAGAAAAAGUCCAUGGAAAGUAGAUUUGAAUACAAUUCAACCAUGCCACACAGAGGUAAGUUUCCUGCACUUAGGCACAUGCCACUGACUAUCAAGAUACAGAAUCCAGUAAAUACGAGAACAGUAUCAACACCUUGUUUUGCUUAUAACCUCUUCUUUUGACAACAACCAAGCAAGUUUAAAUACUGACCAAGGGGAGAAACCUUUGGCCUUCCAAUGUUUUGACAACAAUAGGCCCUCCGCUUUCAAGACCUCAACAAAAGUGGGAAAGCAACUAAUGAAAAAAGAGGGUUUUUUAAACGUGGGAGAACACCUCUCUGAGAAGUCCUCCAGCAUGACACUAUGGUCUAUAUCUGCCAGAAAUUGACUAUAUAAUCAUGCUGGAGGACCUACAAAUGGGUAGAAAAAUAUUAUCUCUAGGGAAUCAAUAGAUCCUCCAGAUAUGGUCAACGUCUGGGGGAGACUGACCAUAUAAUUGUGCUGGAGGAAAUAUAGAUUCCUCGAGAAAAAAAAUACUAAACAAAUCUGCAAAUAAUCAAUUCCACAAAAGUUAAAUUUGCAUAUGUGGAGGACCAGCUGUAUAAUAUUUUACUAAUAUCCAUGCUAGAUCGGGUUUCUUGAGGUUCUGGAAUACUAUAUCCAUUACACGGCAAUGCUAUAAAUAUUUCUGAUGCAAUUUCUACUAGUUUGUCACACAUACAGAGAGGACACCUAAUGUUAAGACAUGAUAUAUGAUCCUGUAUCUAAUUAAUAAUAAUAAUAAUAAUAAUAAUAAUAAUAAUACCCUGCUUUUUCUCACCACAAAGGAGACUCAAAGAGGUUUCCAUUAAAACAUUUCAAUACAAUACAAUACAAUACAAUACAAUACAAUACAAUACAAUACAAUACAAAACAAUACAAUACAAUAUGUAUAGUCUUCCCAGACAUCUUUCUCUAAAAAUAAUUACAAGCAGUCCCCAGGUAAGAACAAGAUAGGUUCUAUAGGUUUGUUCUGGCAUGGUAUGGGGAAGUAUGAAACGUAGCCUUAAAUGAUAAACUAUCAAUGGAAAUUAGGGUGUUCAGGGGGGAAAUUAAUAGAAAAUUAAUAGAUCAGAAUUUGAUUAAUAUUGGUCGCUUUUCAUUAAAUACAUUUUAGAGAGUGAUAAGGGCAAACAAUACAACCUUGUUUGGUCAGGAUUUUUGGAUAUGACUUUUGUGUACUGCUUGACUCUUAAAAUUAAGGCAAAGGAAAUGAUAUUUGUUCAGUCCUGGAUAGUAGGGUUAUGUGUUUGUAAAAUUUUCAUUGUUUUGCGUUUUGUUUCCACUGUAAGCUGUUAAUGUAUGUAAAUAAAAAUUUAUACAAUA
Anolis carolinensis (green anole) is the source of this 4931-nucleotide long non-coding RNA. RefSeq lists it as uncharacterized. NCBI's taxonomy places the organism in Eukaryota, Metazoa, Chordata, Lepidosauria, Squamata, Anolidae. The transcript has 2 exons. The record is from RefSeq and is a predicted model, not a curated record.